UACGUAGGUGGCAAGCGUUGUCCGGAAUUAUUGGGCGUAAAGCGCGCGCAGGCGGUCCUUUAAGUCUGAUGUGAAAGCCCACGGCUCAACCGUGGAGGGUCAUUGGAAACUGGGGGACUUGAGUGCAGGAGAGAAGAGUGGAAUUCCACGUGUAGCGGUGAAAUGCGUAGAGAUGUGGAGGAACACCAGUGGCGAAGGCGACUCUUUAGCCUGUAACUGACGCUGAGGCGCGAAAGCGUGGGGAGCAAACAGG
RNAcentral lists this ribosomal RNA (253 nucleotides) under uncultured bacterium. RNAcentral describes it as "partial 16S ribosomal RNA". It matches the Rfam family "Bacterial small subunit ribosomal RNA", at positions 524 to 776 of the family's 1533-position model. The record is from RNAcentral.